UCCCUUUCAAGCUUCGGCAGGGAUAUCAUUUGAUUUAUUGUGUCGCUUUGUUUGUGAGCAAUGUCGGAGUACGUCGGAUCUAAGACCCCGCACCCUAGUUCACUGCACCACAAAAAGCAAAUAGAGUCUUAAUCCGGGACUCUCGCAAACUUGGAGUCUUAACCCAAGAUUCUCCCAUUACCCGAGCAUGGAGUUAAUUCCACAGAUUUUCCUUUAAAUGCAUCAGAUCUAUCAAGAGGAACGAGCGAAAUUCGUUCAGGACCUCUCAUGGCUAUCUUUCCCUUACCAGUCAUUCCAUCUUCAUUUUUUAAAAUAUAAUUGCUAGUUUGCUUAUGUUUGGUAUAUCCCUGUUUUGGGAUUUUAGGAUAAACUUAGUUAAUGUAUCUUUUAUUUGAUCAUUUAGACUAUCCUAAUCAUUUAUUAUUAAUAAGGUAAUAUUUUCCAUCA
Molecule: long non-coding RNA, 447 nt
Organism: Lycium ferocissimum
Lineage: Eukaryota; Viridiplantae; Streptophyta; Magnoliopsida; Solanales; Solanaceae
Exons: 2
Source: RefSeq, a predicted model, not a curated record